UUCAUGGCAACAGAACCCACAACAACAAUGACUUUUAUCACCAUCUUCAUCUGGGCACUUGCCUUCUGCACUCAAGAAAUUACAGGGCAGUACACUUUGACUCAGACUCCUGCAGUGAAAACUGUUCUUCCAGGAGAGUCAGUGUCACUGAGCUGUAAAGUCAGCAGUGCUGUGUUCAACAACAACUUCCUACACUGGUACCUGCAGAAACCUGGAGAAGCUCCUAAACUCCUCAUCUAUUUAGCAAGCACCCGACACACGGGGACUCCAGCUCGAUUCAGUGGCAGUGGAUCUGGGACUGACUUCACUCUGACCAUCAGUGGAGUCCAGACAGAAGAUGCAGGAGAUUACUACUGUCAGAGUCUACACUAUCCUAGUAGCACCUGGGUGUUCACACAGUGUUAG
Molecule: non-coding RNA, 405 nt
Organism: Megalops cyprinoides (Indo-Pacific tarpon)
Lineage: Eukaryota; Metazoa; Chordata; Actinopteri; Elopiformes; Megalopidae
Source: the annotation of a RefSeq genome assembly